RNAcentral lists this ribosomal RNA (498 nucleotides) under uncultured bacterium. RNAcentral describes it as "partial 16S ribosomal RNA". It matches the Rfam family "Bacterial small subunit ribosomal RNA", at positions 28 to 507 of the family's 1533-position model. The record is from RNAcentral.
GACGAACGCUGGCGGCGUGCCUAAUACAUGCAAGUCGAACGAAAGCAACCGGUGCUUGCACUUGUCAUUCUAGUGGCGGACGGGUGAGUAACACGUGGAUAACCUGCCUAUCAGAGUGGGAUAACAUCCGGAAACGGAUGCUAAAACCGCAUAAGUCUUCGAACCGCAUGGUUUGAAGGGGAAAGAAGGCCCAGGCUUCUGCUGAUGGAGGGACCCGCGGUGCAUUAGCUAGUUGGUGAGGUAACGGCUCACCAAGGCAGUGAUGCAUAGCCGACCUGAGAGGGUGAUCGGCCACAUUGGGACUGAGACACGGUCCAAACUCCUACGGGAGGCAGCAGUAGGGAAUCUUCCGCAAUGGACGAAAGUCUGACGGAGCAACGCCGCGUGAGUGAAGAAGGUCUUCGGAUCGUAAAACUCUGUUGUUAGGGAAGAACAUGUGCUAGAGUAACUGUUCGCGUCUUGACGGUACCUAACCAGAAAGCCACGGCUAACUACGUG